AGUGUUAGUUUUUUUUCUUUUGAAAAUUUUAAGUCACGUAUAGUUAAAUUUACUUACAAGUUUAUUUAAGAAAAGAAGUUUGAAAAUACAAUGGCAUAAGGCCAAAGUUUCUAAUUUGCAAUAUGGUCUAAGUUUAGAAAACAAGCACAAGCAAAGAAGAUUUUAAAAAAGGGGGACAGAUUUUGAAAUUAAAGAAGUGGGGAGGAG
This 207-nucleotide long non-coding RNA is filed under the name Lathyrus oleraceus (garden pea). RNAcentral describes it as "Pisum sativum (pea) long non-coding RNA (PSAT_LNC034272)". The record is from RNAcentral. Lineage: Eukaryota; Viridiplantae; Streptophyta; Magnoliopsida; Fabales; Fabaceae.